AGCAUUAUACUUACUUUAUUGUAUCUUGAUAUUAGUCUCCAAAGUAAAGAAACCUUACACUCAGUGCAUUAAUUUUAUCUCAGGUGAAGUGUUGUUAAAACAUACUCAGUUUUGAUGCAGGAAACAAGGGUGUUCAGGUCAGUCAGUACAGUGGAGAUGGUCCCCUUUUUCUGAAAAAUCUUCUCCAUGAGAAACAAAAUGUGACCUGUCUCAGAAGUGGCCUUUUGAAUUAAAAUCUUCAAACUGCACAGGUACGGAGAUUUAUGAAUGGCACAAAUUCCCUUCACCUUUCCCCCACUAUUAUCAAAGGUAUCUCCUGUUAGUAACAUAUUCGUUAUAGAAACUUAUGAUGGCAUAUAGAAGGGAUAU
Molecule: long non-coding RNA, 369 nt
Filed under: Bos taurus (domestic cattle)
Lineage: Eukaryota; Metazoa; Chordata; Mammalia; Artiodactyla; Bovidae
Description: long non-coding RNA NONBTAT002948
Source: RNAcentral